This 377-nucleotide ribosomal RNA is filed under the name uncultured bacterium. RNAcentral's name for it is "bacterial SSU rRNA". It matches the Rfam family "Bacterial small subunit ribosomal RNA", at positions 521 to 896 of the family's 1533-position model. The record is from RNAcentral.
UAAGACGAGGGACCCUAGCGUUGUUCGGAAUCACUGGGCGUAAAGCGGGUGUAGGCGACUUAGUAAGUCGAGUGUGAAAGCCUUGGGCUUAACCCAAGAAGUGCGCUCGAUACUGCUGAGUUUGAGUACUGGAGAGGCUACUGGAAUUCCUGGUGUAGUGGUGAAAUACGUAGAUAUCAGGAGGAACACCGGAGGCGAAGGCGGGUAGCUGGCCAGACACUGACGCUGAGACCCGAAAGCGUGGGGAUCAAACAGGAUUAGAUACCCUGGUAGUCCACGCUGUAAACGAUGGAUACUUGUCGUUGGAGGAUUUGACCCCUUCAGUGACGGAGCUAACGCGUUAAGUAUCCCGCCUGGGGAGUACGGUCGCAAGAUUA